This is a long non-coding RNA of Hypanus sabinus (Atlantic stingray), 652 nucleotides long. RefSeq lists it as uncharacterized. The transcript has 3 exons. The record is from RefSeq and is a predicted model, not a curated record. Lineage: Eukaryota; Metazoa; Chordata; Chondrichthyes; Myliobatiformes; Dasyatidae.
UCGGGAAUGAGAGAGAAUAUGUGGAGUUUACAGGGUCACACCGACAGACGAAAUUACUGACAUUCGGUGAAUUCAUUGGAGCUGGGCAGUGAGGGACAUUGACAGUGAUGGGAUCUACGAUCAGUGAAUUACUGAAGGGUUUAACGUUCCCUGAAAUAUCCGGGUGAGAGAAAUGCCCUCAGACGGACGAUUUUAAUCACAAUGUUCAUCAAUUUGUCUGUUUGUGUUUAGCCUGAACGAUAAUAAACUGGGGGAUUCAGGAGUGAAACUGUUGUCUGCGGCUCUGAGGAACCCGGAGUGUAAAAUACAGAAACUGUGGCUGGGGUAUGUCGGUCUCACAGAUUCUGGGGCCGAGGAUCUCGUCUCCGCUCUCAGUACAAAACCAUCACUGACGGAUCUGAGCCUGAGUGGUAAUGAACUGGGGGAUUCAGGAGUGAAACUGGUGUCUGCGGCUCUGAGGAACCCGGAGUGUAAAAUACAGAGUCUGUGGCUGAGGUAUGUCGGUCUCACAGAUUCUGGUGCCGAGGAUCUCGUCUCCGCUCUCAGUACAAACCCAUCACUGACGGAUCUGGACCUGGGAUCAAACUCUCUGACAGACCGAUCUGUCCCCGCUCUCCGCCGCCUCAUCCUGACCCUCCGGAGUCUGAAGUGG